CUGGCGGCAGGCUUAACACAUGCAAGUCGAGCGGAGAGAGGUAGCUUGCUACUGAUCUUAGCGGCGGACGGGUGAGUAAUGCUUAAGAAUCUGCCUAUUAGUGGGGGACAACAUUUCGAAAGGAAUGCUAAUACCGCAUACGUCCUACGGGAGAAAGCAGGGGAUCUUCGGACCUUGCGCUAAUAGAUGAGCCUAAGUCGGAUUAACUAGUUGGUGGGGUAAAGGCCUACCAAGGCGACGAUCUGUAGCGGGUCUGAGAGGAUGAUCCGCCACACUGGGAUUGAGACACGGCCCAGACUCCUACGGGAGGCAGCAGUGGGGAAUAUUGGACAAUGGGCGCAAGCCUGAUCCAGCCAUGCCGCGUGUGUGAAGAAGGCCUUAUGGUUGUAAAGCACUUUAAGCGAGGAGGAGGCUACUUUAGUUAAUACCUAAAGAUAGUGGACGUUACUCGCAGAAUAAGCACCGGCUAACUCUGUGCCAGCAGCCGCGGUAAUACGGAGGGUGCAAGCGUUUAAUCGGAUUUACUGGGGCGUAAAGCGCGCGUAAGCCGGCUAAUUUAAGUCAAAUGUGAAAUCCCCNANCUUAACUUGGGGAAUUGCAUUC
RNAcentral lists this ribosomal RNA (603 nucleotides) under bacterium UASWS0063. RNAcentral's name for it is "bacterial SSU rRNA". It matches the Rfam family "Bacterial small subunit ribosomal RNA", at positions 36 to 628 of the family's 1533-position model. The record is from RNAcentral.